AGUGAACGCUGGCGGCAGGCCUAACACAUGCAAGUCGAGCGGCAGCGGGUCCUUCGGGCUGCCGGCGAGCGGCGGACGGGUGAGGAAUACAUCGGAAUCUGACCUGUCGUGGGGGAUAACCUAGGGAAACUUAGGCUAAUACCGCAUACGACCUACGGGUGAAAGCGGGGGAUCGCAAGACCUCGCGCGACAGGAUGAGCCGAUGUCAGAUUAGCUAGUUGGCGGGGUAAAGGCUCACCAAGGCGACGAUCGGUAGCUGGUCUGAGAGGAUGAUCAGCCACACUGGGACUGAGACACGGCCCAGACUCCUACGGGAGGCAGCAGUGGGGAAUAUUGGACAAUGGGCGCAAGCCUGAUCCAGCCAUGCCGCGUGGGUGAAGAAGGCCUUCGGGUUGUAAAGCCCUUUUGUCCGGGAAGAAAUCGUCUGUGCUAAUACCCCGGGCGGAUGACGGUACCGGAAGAAUAAGCACCGGCUAACUUCGUG
RNAcentral lists this ribosomal RNA (484 nucleotides) under uncultured bacterium. RNAcentral describes it as "partial 16S ribosomal RNA". It matches the Rfam family "Bacterial small subunit ribosomal RNA", at positions 30 to 507 of the family's 1533-position model. The record is from RNAcentral.